UUCCAGGAAAAGCCUCUAAGCAUCAGGUAACAUCAAAUCGUACCCCAAACCGACACAGGUGGUCAGGUAGAGAAUACCAAGGCGCUUGAGAGAACUCGGGUGAAGGAACUAGGCAAAAUGGUGCCGUAACUUCGGGAGAAGGCACGCUGAUAUGUAGGUGAAGUCCCUCGCGGAUGGAGCUGAAAUCAGUCGAAGAUACCAGCUGGCUGCAACUGUUUAUUAAAAACACAGCACUGUGCAAACACGAAAGUGGACGUAUACGGUGUGACGCCUGCCCGGUGCCGGAAGGUUAAUUGAUGGGGUCAGCGCAAGCGAAGCUCUUGAUCGAAGCCCCGGUAAACGGCGGCCGUAACUAUAACGGUCCUAAGGUAGCGAAAUUCCUUGUCGGGUAAGUUCCGACCUGCACGAAUGGCGUAAUGAUGGCCAGGCUGUCUCCACCCGAGACUCAGUGAAAUUGAACUCGCUGUGAAGAUGCAGUGUACCCGCGGCAAGACGGAAAGACCCCGUGAACCUUUACUAUAGCUUGACACUGAACAUUGAGCCUUGAUGUGUAGGAUAGGUGGGAGGCUUAGAAGUGUGGACGCCAGUCUGCAUGGAGCCGACCUUGAAAUACCACCCUUUAAUGUUUGAUGUUCUAACGUUGACCCGUAAUCCGGGUUGCGGACAGUGUCUGGUGGGUAGUUUGACUGGGGCGGUCUCCUCCUAAAGAGUAACGGAGGAGCACGAAGGUUGGCUAAUCCUGGUCGGACAUCAGGAGGUUAGUGCAAUGGCAUAAGCCAGCUUGACUGCGAGCGUGACGGCGCGAGCAGGUGCGAAAGCAGGUCAUAGUGAUCCGGUGGUUCUGAAUGGAAGGGCCAUCGCUCAACGGAUAAAAGGUACUCCGGGGAUAACAGGCUGAUACCGCCCAAGAGUUCAUAUCGACGGCGGUGUUUGGCACCUCGAUGUCGGCUCAUCACAUCCUGGGGCUGAAGUAGGUCCCAAGGGUAUGGCUGUUCGCCAUUUAAAGUGGUACGCGAGCUGGGUUUAGAACGUCGUGAGACAGUUCGGUCCCUAUCUGCCGUGGGCGCUGGAGAACUGAGGGGGGCUGCUCCUAGUACGAGAGGACCGGAGUGGACGCAUCACUGGUGUUCGGGUUGUCAUGCCAAUGGCACUGCCCGGUAGCUAAAUGCGGAAGAGAUAAGUGCUGAAAGCAUCUAAGCACGAAACUUGCC
RNAcentral lists this ribosomal RNA (1211 nucleotides) under Escherichia coli. RNAcentral describes it as "partial 23S ribosomal RNA". It matches the Rfam family "Bacterial large subunit ribosomal RNA", at positions 1606 to 2798 of the family's 2925-position model. Lineage: Bacteria; Pseudomonadati; Pseudomonadota; Gammaproteobacteria; Enterobacterales; Enterobacteriaceae. The record is from RNAcentral.